This is a long non-coding RNA of Phyllostomus discolor (pale spear-nosed bat), 371 nucleotides long. RefSeq lists it as uncharacterized. The transcript has 3 exons. NCBI's taxonomy places the organism in Eukaryota, Metazoa, Chordata, Mammalia, Chiroptera, Phyllostomidae. The record is from RefSeq and is a predicted model, not a curated record.
AACCCCCAUGACCACUCUGCAACUCGGCCUUAUCACCCUACAAAUUCCUGGCAGACCAGGGAUUUGUGGUUCUGCGGACAGACAACUCGCCCAAGGCUUGGUAACCUAGUUAAGUGCCAGGAAGGGCAGACAAAUCUACACAUGGUUGAUUAUAAAGCCCACUAACCCAUACUGAGGGCUUUAACUAAAACCUAAUAUGGGGGCGGGGGGGGGUGGUUCCCUAAUUACUUGAGUAAUCAGUCUCUGGCUCACUGUAGUUACCAGGCUGCAUGAGGAAGCACAGGUCAUCCCGUUAUCAUUUAAUGUUUAGUUCACAUCAGCAUGAGCAUCUGUUCCUGCUCACUUUCUUGGCUGGUUAGCAUCACGGAAUA